GACGAACCGUGCGAACGUUGUUCGGAUUCACUGGGCUUAAAGGGCGCGUAGGCGGGUGGUCAAGUCAGGGGUGAAAUCCUCCAGCUUAACUGGAGAACAGCCUUUGAUACUGGCCGUCUCGAGGGAGGUAGGGGCGGGUGGAACUUCCGGUGGAGCGGUGAAAUGCGUAGAUAUCGGAAGGAACGCCGGUGGCGAAAGCGACCCGCUGGACCUCUUCUGACGCUGAGGCGCGAAAGCCAGGGGAGCAAACGGG
RNAcentral lists this ribosomal RNA (253 nucleotides) under uncultured bacterium. Its description in RNAcentral is "partial 16S ribosomal RNA". It matches the Rfam family "Bacterial small subunit ribosomal RNA", at positions 524 to 776 of the family's 1533-position model. The record is from RNAcentral.